Peromyscus californicus insignis is the source of this 774-nucleotide long non-coding RNA. RefSeq lists it as uncharacterized. NCBI's taxonomy places the organism in Eukaryota, Metazoa, Chordata, Mammalia, Rodentia, Cricetidae. The transcript has 2 exons. The record is from RefSeq and is a predicted model, not a curated record.
AGGGCCACAGGAUAAAGAAGAGCAGCGUGGGAGCCGAAAGCCCUAGGGGCCAAAGCCGAGUCCUGGGUGGCCUCUGCAGCCAAGAGGGAAGGAGUCAGAAGCCAGCCCAGGAAAUACAAUGAAAAGGAAACCGGACAUGAUUAGACCCCAAAAGUGGGACACUCUGCAUGCCCCGAUGCCAGGACUAGUUCAGGCUGAGGAAUGUUAGAUGCUGAGCUGAAUGCCCUAGGUUUGGCAUCUGCCUUCCUGCAAAGUCAACAACAGCCAUAAUGAUGACGACCUACGGACACUGUGACCCUGCACUGGACAACAGCAGCUGGAAAGCAGCUUCACAACUAGGAAAAUCUGAGCUUGGAUUGGCUAUCUGGUGAUACUAAAGAAUUGUAAUGAAAUAUAUUCAGAGUAGAACUUUAUGGAUGUGUGUGUGUGUGUGUGUGUGUACAUAUACAUAUACUUUUUUUUUUUUCUUUUUGGCUGGCUUAGGACUCAGUGUGUAGCUUAGGCAAGCCUCAAAUUUCAUGAAUCCUCCUGACUGCCUCCAGGGUGUUAGGAUUGUAGGUAUGCUGUAACAAUCUACUUAAAAAUGCUGAGGACCAAGCCGGGCGGUGGUGGUGGCGCGCGCCUUUAAUCCCAGCACUCUGGAGGCAGAGCCAGGCGGAUCUCUGUGAGUUCGAGGCCAGCCUGGGCUACCAAGUGAGUUCCAGGAAAGGCGCAAAGCUACACAGAGAAACCCUGUCUCGAAAAACCAAAAAAAAAAAAAAAAAAAAUGCUGAG